Molecule: unclassified non-coding RNA, 211 nt
Filed under: plant metagenome
Description: partial contains small subunit ribosomal RNA, internal transcribed spacer 1, and 5.8S ribosomal RNA
Source: RNAcentral
UUUCCGUAGGUGAACCUGCGGAAGGAUCAUUCAUAAUAAAGUGUUUUAUGGCACUUUUUAAAAAUCCAUAUCCACCUUGUGUGCAAUGUUAGAUCUCGUCAAUCUUGGCGAGAUUUUUAUACAUCAACUCAUUCUUUAACUAAUUGGUCUGAAAAAUAUUAUGAAUACUUAAUUCAAAAUACAACUUUCAACAACGGAUCUCUUGGCUCUC